This 74-nucleotide transfer RNA is filed under the name Congrogadus subducens (carpet eel blenny). Its description in RNAcentral is "tRNA-Leu". It matches the Rfam family "tRNA". From Rfam's summary of the family: Transfer RNA (tRNA) molecules are approximately 80 nucleotides in length. Their secondary structure includes four short double-helical elements and three loops (D, anti-codon, and T loops). The record is from RNAcentral. Lineage: Eukaryota; Metazoa; Chordata; Actinopteri; Pseudochromidae.
GUUGGGGUGGCAGAGCCCGGAAAUUGCAAAAGACUUAAAUCCUUCUCACAGAGGUUCAAAUCCUCUCCUCAACU